This 586-nucleotide ribosomal RNA is filed under the name uncultured fungus. RNAcentral's name for it is "eukaryotic LSU rRNA". The stretch from base 209 to 362 matches the Rfam family "5.8S ribosomal RNA". Lineage: Eukaryota; Fungi. The record is from RNAcentral.
GAAGUAAAAGUCGUAACAAGGUUUCCGUAGGUGAACCUGCGGAAGGAUCAUUAUUGAAUUUUGAAGGGGUUGUAGCUGAUCUUUUUUAAAAGAUAUGUGCACACCUCUAUCUACACACCCAUGUGCACUUUUUGUAGGCUUUAUUGCCUAUGUUUAUCAUAUAAACACACAUUUGUUACAAGAAUGUUAUUUAUGAAAUUUAAUAUACAACUUUCAACAACGGAUCUCUUGGCUCUCGCAUCGAUGAAGAACGCAGCGAAAUGCGAUAAGUAAUGUGAAUUGCAGAAUUCAGUGAAUCAUCGAAUCUUUGAACGCACCUUGCGCUCCUUGGUAUUCCGAGGAGCAUGCCUGUUUGAGUGUCAUUAAAUUAUCAACCUCUUCUAGAGGCUUGGAUUUGGAGUGUUGCUGGCUCAUUGUUGGCUCCUCUUAAAUGCAUCAAGCUUGUUGUAGGCUUUGGUUUGAUAAUAUCUAUGCCAUCGCUGUAAUGCAAAACAAACAACCUUUGAAAUUUGACCUCAAAUCAGGUAGGACUACCCGCUGAACUUAAGCAUAUCAAUAAGCGGAGGAAAAGAAACUAACAAGGAUU